RNAcentral lists this ribosomal RNA (467 nucleotides) under uncultured dinoflagellate. RNAcentral's name for it is "SSU rRNA". It matches the Rfam family "Eukaryotic small subunit ribosomal RNA", at positions 451 to 924 of the family's 1831-position model. The record is from RNAcentral. Lineage: Eukaryota; Dinophyceae.
CUGACACAGGGAGGUAGUGACAAGAAAUAACAAUACAGGGCAAUUCUGUCUUGUAAUUGGAAUGAAUAGAAUUUAAAUCCCUUUAUGAGUAUCGAUUGGAGGGCAAGUCUGGUGCCAGCAGCCGCGGUAAUUCCAGCUCCAAUAGCGUAUAUUAAAGUUGUUGCGGUUAAAAAGCUCGUAGUUGGAUUUCUGCUGAGGACGAUCGGUCCGCCCUCUGGGUGAGCAUCUGGCUCGGCCUUGGCAUCUUCUUGGAGAACGCCACUGCACUUGACUGUGUGGUGCGGUAUCCAGGACUUUUACUUUGAGGAAAUUAGAGUGUUUCAAGCAGGCAUACGCCUUGAAUACAUUAGCAUGGAAUAAUGGGAUAGGACCUUGGUUCUAUUUUGUUGGUUUCUAGAGCUGAGGUAAUGAUUAAUAGGGAUAGUUGGGGGCAUUCGUAUUUAACUGUCAGAGGUGAAAUUCUUGGA